This 3061-nucleotide long non-coding RNA is filed under the name Centruroides sculpturatus (bark scorpion). RNAcentral describes it as "uncharacterized LOC111612431". Lineage: Eukaryota; Metazoa; Arthropoda; Arachnida; Scorpiones; Buthidae. The record is from RNAcentral.
AAUUUAUAAAAUAUAGAUUCACUUUCAAUGUUCAUGUAGUUGUCUUACUUAUGAAAUAGUGAUUGUGACUUUAUAUAUGUUUUUUGAUUAAAUUUUAAUUAUAAGUGAAAACAACAGUAUAGACUGGAUGCUUUACAGUUUGGUUGUAUGUACAGUACUUUGUAAGAAAAAAAUAUAGAUUGUUCUAAUGAGAAGAUCAAAGUGGUUUCAUGCAAAUUGCAAUUAAAACAACAAAAGAAAUUGUUUAAUUGCAAUAUGAAUCUACAUAUAUAUCAAAUUUUGUUGCAAUCAAUUAUUGCAGCAAGAAGUCGAUAAUUGGUUGCCUCGUGUGAAAAAGUGCCAGUGCCACACGUGUAAUUUAUAUAUACAAACUUUUAUUGUUCUUGCACCAAAUCAAAAACUAUUUUUAUGUAUUUAUGAAGAAAAAUUAUUAAUUGAAAAGAAAAAUUUUGGAUUAAUAUAUCUACUAAACUAUAUAUUUUAUGAAUUUGAAAUAUAGUAUAAGAAUUGUGGAGAGACUUUUAACCCUUUGGACUCCUAUACUAUAGAAAAAUACUCAAAAUAAGCAAUACAUUGCAUGGGUGUGUGUUGUGCUUUUAAUCAUUACUUAAAAUAAGGUAAUUGUAAUGCAUGAUGAACAAAUAACUGAUAAUAUCAUAAAUUUAUUUUGAAAUUCACAUAAUUUGUUGAUAAAUAAUAUAAUAAAUAUUUUUUUUCUAUUGUUUCGAGAAUAUUUCAGGAUCGGUAAUGUUAUCUACCCAGUAAAAUGUACUUUUUUGGACUGUUUAUUUACCUAGAAAAACUUAUGUAAUAACUUAUUGCUUAUUUUGUAUGUUUUUAUUCUUGUUUCUCUUUAAUGUAUAAAGUUAAUUGAAAAUUUUGUGAAAUUGCCAACUGAUGUACAGUAUCAUCAAAUAAUCUAUAUUAAAUAAGAAACAUUGUAGUUCUUGGAUGUAGCUUCAUUUUCAAUUACAUCUCAGCUGUUUUACAUGUAUUUAUAUGGCUCAAAAUCAAAGCAUAUAUAUUUGCUGCUGUGUAUUUUCCAAGGUGAUUGGCGGUGAAUUGCAGGAUCGGUUGAUACCGGUGCCCUACAGCAAGAGUGCCACUGAUCAAGCUAUUCGAGUAGUUAAUGCUUUCCGUAGUGGUGUAGACCCGCGCAAUAAUCCUACACAGACGGCCUUCCUCAAAAGGACUUCGACCGCUGGCCUCGUCUCUACUGCCGCAACUUCUUCUGCAGCUAAAGGUUUUUCCUUUGAAGGUUUGGAGAGGAAGAAGAAAUAGUUAUAUAAUACAAAGAAACUGUGCAUCCAUUACCACAGAAGGAAUGUUUCAUUAUAUCUGUUCAUACCUACAUAAUUUCUUUUUGUGCUUGAGUGUUUUCUUGUGUUGAUUUACAAAAACCAAAAUUAAAAGCCUGUUGAUAUUAUAGAACCUAUUUCUAGUUGUCAAAGUCAAAUUGUUAAUUUUUUGACAAAUUAAAAAGUGACUAUGAACUUCAAUACUGUGUAUUUAAAUUACGGUAAAUCAUGAAAAUGCUUACAAACAUUUUAUAUGUCAUACUUAUUACUGCCAGCUAAUCCUAAACUUUAUUGGGCAGCUUGGAGUAUCAAGUAAGACAAUAUUGUUGGAUACUUCUAACGGACAUUGUAGAUUAAAAGAAAUCGUUGAGAAUUAAGUGGUCCGUGCCUUGUAAGAACUCUGCUAGAAGUGUUGCUUCUGUGACUGACUCCGUUACCGAUCGUAACUACUGGAAAGAUUUGCGGAAAUGAAAAAAAAAUGUCGCAUGCAACUUGAGACAUUUCAAAUAUCAUCAUCUAUAGAUUCUAUAUAGUUCAGUGUGGAAAUUAUAACUCUUUAUGUAUUUGCUAGAGAACGAUAGUUGUACGAACUAAAGCUGCAAAAGUUGGAUCGAGAAUUUAUCCUGCUUAUUUAUUAAACACAAGUUAAGAAAAGUGUUAAACUGCCAAUUGUUCACUUUUCUUGAUAACUUUAUCCUUUUACUACAAGUCAUAGUGAAUACCAAGUUUCUAAGUAUGCUUGUCUAUUUCAUAAAAAAUUUUUCCCACAGUAUUGAUUUCAGAAGUUUUUAGAUAGGAUUUUUGAGUAUAUUAUUAAAAACAAAAAUUGUUGACAUAUACCAUUUUAAUAAUUCAUCAUUAUUAGCAGUACUUAACAAUUGUCAUGAAUUUAAGUUUACAUCUAUUACUUUUUUAAUGUUUUAAAAUUUUAAACAAUUUACAUAGUCAUGUUCUGCAGCCAGAGGGAGAGCAAUAAUUAUCUCUUAGAGUUAAUCUGCAGUUAAAGGAGCAGUAGCAAAUUUUUAAUUAUUCUAUGUACAAUAUUCACGGCUCCCCUCGUCUGAAAAGCUAUUUCUGUAAGUUCCCUAUUUUCAUUACUUAUAUAAUAUAGUUCUCAUUGUUAUUGACUGGAUGAAAAAAAAUGAAACAAAACCAGAAUUAUAGCAGUAAUACAUUGUAUGAUAUUGGCCAAAAGACAAUUUGUUUUGUCCUUUCCUUCAGUGCACUUUAUGAUUAGUGUUAAUAGUUUAAUAAAGAUAGAUGUUAUGACACAUAGAAUUCCUAGAAUAUAACUAAUCAUCACACAUUUCAGUCAAGACCUCCUAGCCAGCUAAAAUAUUUCUGUUGACUAUUUUACUCUUAUUCAAACAUGGUGCAUUGUUUGUUCAAAUAAAGACUGUACAUUUUCAAAACACUUCAUCUGCUAUUAAACAAAUAAAUCAGAUAUUUCCCACUUAAAAGUUGUCUGUGAUUGAUUUCAAUUAUAUUCAAAACAGAUUAGAUGUUAGUAGUGUGAAAGAUUAAAUGUUUUACAUUAAAUAAGUUAAGUUGAAAAUAAAUAAUUUUAUGGUAAUACAGUGGAGCACCUUUUUACAUAUUUCACAUUUAAACAUCAUUUUACAUUGGUCCCAAAAUAUUCCUUUUCUUUCAUUAAUGAAAUACAGUAGAGCCUCGAUUAACCGACCGUCCUAGUCGGCAAAUUUCAAAUGUCCGCUAGUGAUGUGGCGCUACAAUAUUUGGCUAUGUCUUGGCUACUUUAAUAG